RNAcentral lists this transfer RNA (77 nucleotides) under Bacteroidota bacterium. RNAcentral's name for it is "Bacteroidetes bacterium tRNA-Asn". It matches the Rfam family "tRNA". From Rfam's summary of the family: Transfer RNA (tRNA) molecules are approximately 80 nucleotides in length. Their secondary structure includes four short double-helical elements and three loops (D, anti-codon, and T loops). Lineage: Bacteria; Pseudomonadati; Bacteroidota. RNAcentral also lists the same sequence under 1 other name. The record is from RNAcentral.
UCCUCCUUAGCUCAGCUGGUUAGAGCAUCUGACUGUUAAUCAGAGGGUCGCUGGUUCAAGUCCAGCAGGGGGAGCCA